RNAcentral lists this microRNA (23 nucleotides) under Drosophila virilis. RNAcentral describes it as "dvi-miR-9708c-3p". The record is from miRBase by way of RNAcentral. Lineage: Eukaryota; Metazoa; Arthropoda; Insecta; Diptera; Drosophilidae.
UAUGUGUGUUAGCUGGGCUCAUG